AGCCGCCCGUACCCCAAACCGACACUGGUGGUCAGGUAGAGAAUACCAAAGCGAUCGAGCGAAUCCUGGUCAAGGAACUCGGCAAAUUACUCCCGUGCCUUCGGUAUAAGGGAGACCCCUGCGGGUGAACCAGCUAGCCUGGGGAGCGUGCGGGGGUGGCACAGACCAGGGGGUAGCGACUGUUUACCAAAAACACAGGAGCGUGCGAAGGCGCAAGCCGCUGUAUACGCUCUGACGCCUGCCCGGUGCCGGAAGGUUAAGAGGAUCCGUCAGCCUUCGGGUGAAGCGGUGAAUUCAAGCCCCGGUAAACGGCGGUGGUAACUAUAACCAUCCUAAGGUAGCGAAAUUCCUUGUCGGGUAAGUUCCGACCUGCACGAAUGGCGUAACGACUUCCCCACUGUCUCGACCAGGAGCUCGGCGAAAUUGCAGUACGAGUAAAGAUGCUCGUUAAGCGCAGAAGGACGAAAAGACCCCGGGACCUUUACUAUACCUUGGUAUUGGCAUUCGGUGUGGAUUGUGUAGCAUAGGCGGGAGGCCGAGAGGCGCGGUCGCCAGAUCGCGCGGAGCCGUAAGGUGAAAUACCGCUCUGUUCGCAUUGGAUGUCUAACCUCGAACAGUCAUCCUGUUCAGGGACAGUGCCUGGCGGGUAGUUUAACUGGGGCGGUUGCCUCCCAAAGAGUAACGGAGGCGCCCAAAGGUCCGCUCAGCCCGGUUGGCAAUCGGGUGGCGAGUGCAAGUGCACAAGCGGGCUUGACUGCGAGGACGACGGUCCGAGCAGGGACGAAAGUCGGGACUAGUGAUCCGGUGCCGGUGUACGGACGCGGCAUCGCUCAACGGAUAAAAGGUACCCCGGGGAUAACAGGCUGAUCAUUCCCAAGAGUCCAUAUCGACGGGAUGGUUUGGCACCUCGAUGUCGGCUCGUCGCAUCCUGGGGCUGGAGCAGGUCCCAAGGGUUCGGCUGUUCGCCGAUUAAAGCGGCACGCGAGCUGGGUUCAGAACGUCGUGAGACAGUUUGGUCUCUAUCCUCUGCGCUCGUCGGAACCUUGAGGAGGCCUGCCCAUAGUACGAGAGGACCUGGGUGGACGAACCUCUGGUAUGCCAGUCGUCACGCCAGUGGCGCGGCUGGUUGGCUACGUUCGGAAGGGAUAACCGCUGAAAGCAUCUAAGCGGGAAGCCUGCUCCAAGAUAAGGGUUCCAUGCGCCUUCGGGCGCUGCAGUCCCCAUGCAGAACACGUGGUUGAUAGGCCGGACGUGGAAGCCCCGCGAGGGGUGGAGCUGACCGGUACUAACGGACGAGGGGCAAUCUAC
Molecule: ribosomal RNA, 1308 nt
Filed under: human gut metagenome
Description: bacterial LSU rRNA
Rfam family: Bacterial large subunit ribosomal RNA
Source: RNAcentral